This 419-nucleotide long non-coding RNA is filed under the name Dermacentor andersoni. RNAcentral's name for it is "uncharacterized LOC126526205". The record is from RNAcentral. Lineage: Eukaryota; Metazoa; Arthropoda; Arachnida; Ixodida; Ixodidae.
AUCUGUCACCUUGUGUACAGCAAGAAAGGGGAAAAACUGGAGAGGAGGACGAUGCAGUUGCGAACUGAGGAGGCACCUGAUGGGACAGGAGAAAGUGUGCCAUGGGGAUGGGAGCACAGAUUCAGCAUGGCUGGAGGGGAAAGGAGGAAGCAUGCGUCAUACAUCAUUUGCUCCUGAUCCAGGAGAGCCCUCCGCCACCAAUGAAAGAAAAGGUGGGUGAGCCCUAGACGUGAUCCACGCACCUACUCAACAAGGCAGAACGGAUUUCAGUUUAGCAUUCUCUUUUUGAAAAUGCCACCUUGACUGCUGCAGGCUUUUCAUCUCCUUUCUUUGCUUUUGCUGCUUAGAGGCAAGUCUUGCUGCACGAGCUUGCAAGGAAGCCUUCUCAGGGGUGUCGACCUACGAUGUAAAACCAAGUG